GGCAAGGUAAGUCGGCGAAUUGGCUCCGUAACUUUGGGAGAAGGAUUGGCUCUGGGGGCCGAGUCAGACAGGCCGAGAUCAGAUACGUGUCGGUCCAGUUGGGCGCUGGUUUCNNNNNNNNNNUUGUACUUCGGUGCGCGUUGUGGUAAGGUUACUGGACUCUGACCCGGGUCGAUCGUGAGCGGUGUCGUGCAGCUAGCAACGCACGAGGACAUGUUCCACGUUGCGUCAAGCUGCUGUACAUCCAUAGUCUGGCACGCUACGGCUAACUCAGAACUGGCACGGACCAGGGGAAUCCGACUGUCUAACUAAAACAAAGCAUUGCGAUGUUCACUGAUUGAUUUUGACGCAAUGUGAUUUCUGCACAGUGCUCUGAGUGUCAAAGUGAAGAAAUUCAAUCAAGCGCGGGUAAACGGCAGGAGUAACUAUAACUCAGUAGUCAUUCACAAGUGAGACUGAAAGUCCUGGCAUCUAUUAUCGAAUACGGGAAUAUAAAGGAGAAAACAGCCCCUCAACGCUUCC
This is a non-coding RNA of Schistosoma rodhaini, 522 nucleotides long. NCBI's taxonomy places the organism in Eukaryota, Metazoa, Platyhelminthes, Trematoda, Strigeidida, Schistosomatidae. The record is from Rfam.